AUUGAACGCUGGCGGCAUGCCUUACACAUGCAAGUCGAACGGUAACGGGCCUUCGGGUGCCGACGAGUGGCGAACGGGUGAGUAAUACAUCGGAACGUGCCCGAUCGUGGGGGAUAACGAGGCGAAAGCUUUGCUAAUACCGCAUACGAUCUACGGAUGAAAGCAGGGGACCGCAAGGCCUUGCGCGGACGGAGCGGCCGAUGGCAGAUUAGGUAGUUGGUGGGAUAAAAGCUUACCAAGCCGACGAUCUGUAGCUGGUCUGAGAGGAUGAUCAGCCACACUGGGACUGAGACACGGCCCAGACUCCUACGGGAGGCAGCAGUGGGGAAUUUUGGACAAUGGGCGCAAGCCUGAUCCAGCCAUGCCGAGUGCAGGAUGAAGGCCUUCGGGUUGUAAACUGCUUUUGUACGGAACGAAAAGCCUUCUUUUAAUACAGGAGGGUAAUGACGGUACCGUAAGAAUAAGCACCGGCUAACUACGUG
This 482-nucleotide ribosomal RNA is filed under the name uncultured bacterium. Its description in RNAcentral is "partial 16S ribosomal RNA". It matches the Rfam family "Bacterial small subunit ribosomal RNA", at positions 30 to 507 of the family's 1533-position model. The record is from RNAcentral.